RNAcentral lists this ribosomal RNA (253 nucleotides) under uncultured bacterium. RNAcentral describes it as "partial 16S ribosomal RNA". It matches the Rfam family "Bacterial small subunit ribosomal RNA", at positions 524 to 776 of the family's 1533-position model. The record is from RNAcentral.
UACGAGGGGUGCAAGCGUUGUUCGGAAUAACUGGGCGUAAAGCGCACGUAGGCGGGUUCGUGUGUCGGUUGUGAAAUCCCUGGGCUUAACCCGGGAAUUGCUGCCGAAACUGCGGAUCUUGAGUGCUCGAGGGGGUGGUGGAAUUCCUGGUGUAGAAGUGAAAUUCGUAGAUAUCAGGAGGAACAUCAGAGGCGAAGGCGACUGCCUGGCGAGACACUGACGCUGAGGUGCGAAAGCGUGGGGAUCAAACAGG